Long non-coding RNA from Salvelinus fontinalis (brook trout), 2901 nucleotides. RefSeq lists it as uncharacterized. NCBI's taxonomy places the organism in Eukaryota, Metazoa, Chordata, Actinopteri, Salmoniformes, Salmonidae. The record is from RefSeq and is a predicted model, not a curated record. The transcript has 3 exons.
GAGCACAAGUGCCUGUGCAUUGCACAAGAGACAGGCUAUAAGUUAGAAGCUUAUUAUGUAUAAUCCGUCAGGAAUUAGUUAAAUAUAAGGCUAAUACUGCAUUGAAUGUAUUACCUGAAAGAGGUAGGCUAGGACAUCUAUAUAUAGCGCCAUUGUGUGUGUGUGUGUGUGUACACACACACAGUUGAAGUUGGAAGUUUACACACAGUUGAAGUUGGAAGUUUACAUACACUUAGGUUGGAGUCAUUAAAACUUGUUUUCCAACCACUCCAUACAUUUCUUGUUAACAAACUAUAGUUUUGGUAAGUCGUUUAGGACAUCUACUUGUGCAUGACACAAGUAAUUUUUCCAACAGUUGUUUACGGACAGAUUAUUUCACUUAUAAUUCACUGUAUCACAAUUGCAGUGAACAACCAUCCCAACCGUGAAGCACGGGAGUGGCAACAUCAUGUUGUGGGGGUGCUUUGCUGCAGGAGGGUCUGGUGCACUUUACAAAAUAGAUGGCAUCAUGAGGUAGAAAAAUUUGGUGGGUAUAUUGAAGCAACAUCUCAAGACAUCAGCCAGGAAGUAAAAGCUUGGUCGCAAAUGGGUCUUCCAAAUGGACAAUGACCCCAAGCAUACUUCCAAAGUUGUGGCAAAAUGGUUUAAGGACAACAAAGUCACGGUAUUGGAGUGGCCAUCACAAAGCCCUGACCUCAAUCCUAUAGAACAUUUGUGGGCAGAACUGAAAAGCGUGUGCAAGCAAGGAGGCCUACAAACCUGACUGUUACACCAGCUCUGUCAGGAGGAAUGGGCCAAAAUUCCCCCAACUUAUUGUAGGAAGCUUGUGGAAGGCUACCCAAAACGUUUGACCGAAAUUAAACAAUUUAAAGGUAAUGCUACCAAAUACUAAUUGAGCGCAUGUAAACUUCUGACCCACUGGGAAUGUGAUGAAAGAAAUAAAAGUUGAAAUAAAUCAUUCUCUAUUAUUAUCCUGACAUUUCACAUUCUUAAAAUAAAGUGGUGAUCCUAACUGACCUAAGACAGGGAAUUUUUACUAGGAUUAAAUGUCAGGAAUUGUGAAAAACUGAGUUUAAAUGUAUUUGGCUAAGGUGUAUGUAAACAUCCGACUCCAACUGUAUAUUUAUGCUGUUCAUAUACAUCAUUUAUUAUAUUUUACUGGUUUCUUUCAGUUAUUUAAGUGGUUUUAGGUAGUAAAUCUCAGUAAACCUACUAUGAAUACUUUAUGAAGUCACUGUAUAUUUAAGUGGUCCUGGGGGCUCCCGAUGGUGCUGGGGGCAUCUCAGUGCAAGAGGUGUCACUACAGUCCCUGGUUCAAAUCCAGGCUGUAUCACAUCUGGCUGUGAUUGGGAGUCCACAAUUGGUUUGGGUAGGCCCUCAUUGUAAAUAAGAAUUUGUUCUUAACUGACUUGCCUAGUUAAGUAUAAUUAGUAUCAAUAUUGUGUGUUUCUAGUUUGUCAGUUAGUUGCUUAAAAUGUUGUAUUUUUGAAUUCAAGUGGCUGCACGGUCCCGUGUGGCUCAGUCGGUAGAGCAUGGCGCUUGCAACGCCAGGGUUGUGGGUUCAAUUCCCACGGGGGGACCAGGGUUCAAUUCCCACGGGGGGACCAGGAUGAAUAUGUAUGAACUUUCCAAUUUGUAAGUCGCUCUGGAUAAGAGCGUCUGCUAAAUGACUUAAAUGUAAUGUAAAUGCAUCUGACAUUAGUGAUAGCUAGCUAUCGUUAGCGAACGGCUUUCAAGGAAGGAUGUUUUUUUUACAUCCGCUUUCUGCAUGAAAUCCCGAAAUGAACUGUCAAAUCCCGAAAUGAGCUGUGAACUGUCAAUGUCCAUCGAAUUGCAAAAUUGACAUCAAGACUCCAGCCAGCAAACUGGAGAAAGAUUUUAUGCUGUAUGCUCAUAAUGUUUGAUGUACGCAGGUAAGUUGCAUUCUACUGCUGAUUAUCUGCUUAUGUGUAAUAUUUCUGACUUGUUUGUCACGGUGUCAAACAGAGACGAGUGGAGAGGUCAGUGUGAGGGCCUGUUGCUACGGGUCAAUAAAGAAGAACAAGAAGCCACACAGUCUUGAGAGGUUUGAAUCCCGGGCCCAUUGACAAGAUGGUUAUAUCCAAGCCUACACCAAACGAUAUGGCAGAAGGAGUGUGUACAAAAGCACACAAAGGGAUGGUUCGACUGUUGCUGGAUCUCUCUGUGCUGAAGGUGGAAGAGACUUACAGGAAUUUCCACACUCUGGACAAACCCCUGGUGAAAACCAUGGGCAUGACUGUUGACAAGCCUCUAGUGGACUCUGCUUCCGGGUUGGUGCAGAAGGGGAGUGUCCUAUCUUACCAGCAGCCGAAGCUUACAACUAAGCACAUCAAACUCCAGCAAGAUGCUCCACAAAAAUCCAUACCUACCUCUAAUCGAAUACCAGCUUGGGCCAUCGCAGUGCAUGUUUGUUUCCCAUGGAGUGGCCACCUUUUGGGUUGGUUGAAAUAAAGUGCCCCAAUGUAAAAAUUGUUGAUAUAAAUAUCUGCAAAUGCAACAUGGCACUUUUACCCUACGGAGGAGCCAUGCGUACUAUUGGCAGGUGCAAGGCCAACUGCUCGUCCCUGGGCUCGAGUGGUGUGACUGUCUAUGCCCAGGAAGACGUGCUUGUGCAGCGACUGCAUCUUGAACCUGAGGUCACAGCGGUGAUCAGAGAGACGGCAGACUCCUAUUAUUCCAACGUGUUCAUUCAGAAGUACUUGUCUGUGAAGCCACAGUACUAAAUCUGUUUCAGCCCAAGCGCAGCCCCACAAUGUGUGAAGCCCUUACAGAAUAUUGAACUCAUUUCUUGUUGAUGAUUGAUUUGUUAUACAGUCUUUUGAUCAUGCUGUCUGUGCAUCCACUAUUUUUUGAUUAAAAAAUGCCAAAGUUAUAGUUCAA